RNAcentral lists this transfer RNA (75 nucleotides) under bacterium. Its description in RNAcentral is "tRNA-Glu". It matches the Rfam family "tRNA". From Rfam's summary of the family: Transfer RNA (tRNA) molecules are approximately 80 nucleotides in length. Their secondary structure includes four short double-helical elements and three loops (D, anti-codon, and T loops). Further hydrogen bonds mediate the characteristic L-shaped molecular structure. tRNAs have two regions of fundamental functional importance: the anti-codon, which is responsible for specific mRNA codon recognition, and the 3' end, to which the tRNAs corresponding amino acid is attached (by aminoacyl-tRNA synthetases). tRNAs cope with the degeneracy of the genetic code in two manners: having more than one tRNA (with a specific anti-codon) for a particular amino acid; and 'wobble' base-pairing, i.e. permitting non-standard base-pairing at the 3rd anti-codon position. RNAcentral also lists the same sequence under 2 other names. The record is from RNAcentral.
GGCCCCAUCGUCUAGUGGUUAGGACAUCACUCUUUCAAGGUGGAGACACGGGUUCGAGUCCCGUUGGGGCCACCA